GGGCCCGCACAAGCGGAGGAACAUGUGGUUUAAUUCGAUGAUACGCGAGGAACCUUACCCGGGCUCGAACGGCAAGUGAAUGAUCUGGAAACAGACAGUCCGCAAGGACACUUGUCGAGGUGCUGCAUGGUUGUCGUCAGCUCGUGCCGUGAGGUGUCGGCUUAAGUGCCAUAACGAGCGCAACCCUUACCGUUAGUUACCAUCAGGUGAAGCUGGGGACUCUAGCGGGACUGCCACCGUAAGGUGUGAGGAAGGUGGGGAUGACGUCAAAUCAGCACGGCCCUUACGUCCGGGGCGACACACGUGUUACAAUGGGGGGACAGCAGGCAGCUACCUGGCGACAGGAUGCGAAUCCGUCAAACCCUCUCCCAGUUCGGAUUGGAGUCUGCAACUCGACUCCAUGAAGCUGGGAUUCGCUAGUAAUCGCGCAUCAGCCAUGGCG
Molecule: ribosomal RNA, 442 nt
Filed under: uncultured Bacteroidota bacterium
Lineage: Bacteria; Pseudomonadati; Bacteroidota
Description: bacterial SSU rRNA
Rfam family: Bacterial small subunit ribosomal RNA
Source: RNAcentral